AUGGCUCAGGACGAACGCUGGCGGCGUGCUUAACACAUGCAAGGUCGAACGGGGAUAACGGAGAGGAGAGCUUCGGCAGGAAUCGCUGUAUCGAGUGGCGGACGGGUGAGUAACGCGUGAGCAACCUGUCCCAGACAGGGGGAUAACACUUGGAAACAGGUGCUAAUACCGCAUAAGACCACGGGAUCGCAUGGUUCUGGGGUAAAAAGGAGAAAUCCGGUUUGGGGUGGGCUCGCGUCCGAUUAGCCAGUUGGCGGGGUAACGGCCCACCAAAGCGACGAUCGGUAGCCGACCUGAGAGGGUGAUCGGCCACAUUGGAACUGAGAGACGGUCCAAACUCCUACGGGAGGCAGCAGUGGGGAAUAUUGGGCAAUGGGCGAAAGCCUGACCCAGCAACGCCGCGUGAGUGAAGAAGGCCUUCGGGUUGUAAAGCUCUGUUAUAGUUGACGAAGUGCGUGACGGUAGGCUAUAAGGAAGCCCCGGCUAACUACGUGCCAGCCGCGGC
Molecule: ribosomal RNA, 505 nt
Filed under: uncultured bacterium
Lineage: Bacteria
Description: bacterial SSU rRNA
Rfam family: Bacterial small subunit ribosomal RNA
Source: RNAcentral